Molecule: long non-coding RNA, 3799 nt
Organism: Canis lupus familiaris (dog)
Lineage: Eukaryota; Metazoa; Chordata; Mammalia; Carnivora; Canidae
Exons: 2
Source: RefSeq, a predicted model, not a curated record
CAAAUGCUUUACAUACACCACGUGGUUGAUUUCGUCUCCACCGGCAAGCUACAAAGCAGAAAUGGUGACUGUUUUAUCAGUAAAGAUGCCAAGGCCUACAUGGAUCAAAAAGUUGCCCAGGGUCAGAGCAGGUAACUCAGACCUGGAAUCCUAAUCCAGAUCUUUCUGUCCUGAAAGCGCUCUUCCGUCCUUGUCAUUGGCCAGAAAAUGGGACAUUAUGAGACUCUGGAUUCUGCUGGAGGAAGACACUGCCCCUGUACGCCCAGACUCCACGCCUCGAUCUAUGGAAAACACAAACAGGCAGCGACGACUGGCCCUGCGCGACGCCGAGUCCGCUGCUGAUUUGCUCCUGACCUUCCAGCCUCGACAGCUGUGGGAAGUCACCAUCUAUUGUUUGAGCCCCCGGUCCACGGUCCACGGGGCAGGGAGCCCCCUGGAGUUCACAGCUGCCCGGUGUCCCAGGAGCCAAGGAGCAGCCCCCCCCCCACCCCGGGGACAGGGGGAGAGCCCGGCCGUGGCCAGCACCGGGUUUGCUUCCAGGGCUCAGGCCGGGGACCGGUGUUGGGGCAUCUCCCAGGUGAUAUGGGACCGCAGGGCCAACCGCGUGUCCUCGUGGUGGCCGUGUGCAUUCGGUGUGACGAAGCCCCAGCUUGUUUGGCCGCCCAGAUCCAAGCCACCUUCUCCGUGUCACAAGGUGAGGCAGGCUUUGCGCGGGGGCCGCACCUGUGGCCUCAGAUGCCAGGCUGGGGGCUUGGGGAGGGCAAGGUCCCUGUGGGCUCCGGGCUCUUCCUUUGCACGAAGGAAGGUCAGAGAUGCCUGUUGCCGUGGGGGUGGCAUCCCGGGGACAGCCGUCCCUGGCAGGAGGUCCUCCGUGAAGUAGGGCCAGGUUGUUGAGGCCUACGGAGGCCACCAACUGCGCAGCCGCAGGACCACGCGGCUCCCUGGACGUUACCCUCAGCGCCAAGCCCGGUCCCUGGUGUUCCCAGUGCCUCCUGCUCAGAGCACGAGCACGACUUGGCCACCGCUCCGUCUCAGCGCCGGCCUGGGGUCACAGGGCUGCUUCCUGUCUGGCUCGGCCGCUGCGAGGCCACCUCCAUGAGCUCCAGGCUCCGUCCCUGCACGCAACAAGCAAGUGGGCUCCACACAUGUGGCCACAUGGGCCGGGUGCAUGCACACGCGGGCACACCCAGCGGCGCCCUCCCGCUCCCCCGGGGUGGGAUACCUAGAAGCUCUGCUCUCGCCCUCAGUGACAGGGACGUCCUUCCUGGGCCCCUGGGGCCUUGGGACUGUCCCCGACCUCCUUUUACUCUGCGGCAAACCCUGUGGCGACCCCGUGGACUGUGUAUCCCCCGCUACUCGCCCCGACCUGGGGCUGGACUCAGCCCUGGAGACAGGGCUGUGGGCCUGGGGGAGUCAGCCCAGUGCAGCAGCUCCCCGGGCCGGCACCUGCCCGUGGCCACGAGCAUCUGGCAGCUGCAUCGCCUACAUGGGCUUCUCCUCAGCUGCGUGUCCGUCACCCCGAGCCAGGGCGCCACACCAGGUCCUUGGUGUCCCCAGGUCAGAUGUCCCCAAACGAGCAGCACAAGGCAGCGCAGGUAUGGACGGCUUCAGGAGAGCCCAUGGACUGGCCGGUGCCGCGGGGCCCAGGUGACACCCCCGGGGGCCUGGGGACUCAGGGCUCAGGGAGUCACCCGGGGAAUGACACCCUCUCAGGUCGCAACCCCGGGACCCCCGCUGCCCUCUGGGAACCCCGGGAGGGUGCAGGAGUCUGGGGAACGGGCCCGGUGGACGGCCUGAGCAUGAGGACAGGACAAGGUCAGGGGCGGGGCCACCGAGGUCGCUGGGGCUGGGGCUGCCCCCCCAGGCCAGUGUCUGGGUGAGGUCCCCGGGGCGCGUGGCUCUGGGAGUCACCCGGGACCUGACGGUGCCCGUGAGAACCUUCCCUGGCCUUACGCUCGCUGGUGGCAGAAGACAAGGCCAACCGGUCCCCACAGCAAGGUGGCCAGAGGGCAAGCUGGGCCCUGGUGACAGUAGUGGGAGCAGGACUAGGCCUGGGAUCCUGGGGGUGGAUGGUGUGCUCUAUGAGGGGGGCUUCUGGAAGGUUCUCCUGAGCUGUAGUGGGAGCAGGACUAGGCCUGGUAUCCUGGUGGGGGGUGCUCUAUGAGGAGUCAUGGAGGACUGUUUCCCCACAUUCUGCACUGGAAUCUCCCACGGAAACGUCUUGUCCACCCAGCACAGAACACCUGAUGCUACUACAGAUUUCGUCUCUGUAGCUUCUCGAUUUCAUGGCCUACGUCGGUGUCGCCAGGGUAGUGUCAGCCCGUUAUUGUUCGCAGCACAUGACCGACCCUGAGUAGCUACUCUCUGAGUUUCCUGCAGGCCGUGGCAAGGGGGACAGGUCAUGCUGAUCUCCCUCGCUGUCGUGUUCCCGGGGGCCCGUGCUGCCGCCCUUGCAAGGGUAUGAGCGUCGGGAGCAGAGGGUGAGCGCUGGGCCAGAUGGGGCAGGAGGGGGUGCCCGGCACAGGCCAGGCCAGUCCCCCUGUUCUCGGAUGCUGCGCAGUCCAGCAGCGGUGACCAUGUCGGGCCUUCUGGCCUGGUUCACCUUUGACCCUGCGUGGCCCCUCCCGGCCCUUUGGCCAGCGGGUGGUGGCUUCGGGGACCCGGAGGGUUGGGGGGGCAGCACAUCAAGGGAGCUGCCCACGGAGGCACAAUUAUGUAGCAUCACCACACCCGCACGGGACUCAGGGGGCCCCCAAGGGGCGUGACACCCCUGGCUUCUCCAACCUGAGCCCUCUGCCCGCAGGAGGCCAGCUCCUCAGGGCGGGACAUGCAGAAGCACCGAGUCUGCCUGUGAAGCCAGGCCUGCUGCUCCCGGGGCCGACACCCAGACAGGGACCCAACGUCACCCCCGCCGGCACCCCUCCCUCAGUGGGAACUUCCAUCCACCUGCCGAGAAACUUCCUUCUGAGCCCCCAUUAACGACAGCACUUAUUUUAUACGAGAAUCCAUUUCAUGCGAAUUAGGGGACUGUUUCCCCAGUGAUACGACCGCAGGCUCCGCAAGGGACAGACGCGUCUUAUGGACACGAGGUCAGAAAGUCGGCCUCCGCGCCUCGCAGCAAUUGACUAGCCACUCUGAAUUAUUUCGUAAUAGAAUUACUGCCUCUGCUGGCCCAUCUUUUAAAAACGCACCGUGAAGGAGGGGCUAACUGGAUUUCCCCUGUACUCUUUAUUUUAGUUUUUUUUAAUAAAUUUAUUUUUUAUUGGUGUUCAGUUUGCCAACAUAUAGAAUAACACCCAGUGCUCAUCCCAUCAAGUGCCCCCCUCAGUGCCCGUCACCCGUACUCUUUAAAAACAUACUUGCAGGAAGAGGAACUCAGAAGGGACACGGGUGGGAGCGGGGACAUGAAGCAGGUCCCCAGUCUUGGGGAACCCUGACCACAGCAGCCAGGGGCCCGCCCGGCAGCUCACGCGUAAGGGGACCAGCGGCUGGUUGGGGAGAGAUGCUGAAGUCGAGCCCAGAUGGCUUUGUGGUGCGGAGGGCGAUCGGGGAAGGUACGAGCAAGCCAGAGUGACCCUGGAGACGGGGUCUCCUGGGGACAGAGCCGGUGGGCAGCGGCAGGAGGAGUGGGUUUUGCUGUAAUGGGGUCUUUGUCUCCCCCAGGUGUCCUUUGCUCCGUGUCUCUCCGUGGCCCUAAUAACUACUUGGGGAUGGGAACAGAAGGGCAAAUGUCCUGAUACCAGGUUAUUAAUGUUUUUAAGAUGGAUUUUGAAGAAUAAAAACAGAAAUGACAAGUAAA